CCUGGCUCAGAUUGAACGCUGGCGGCAUGCCUAACACAUGCAAGUCGAACGAGGUACUUCGGUACCUAGUGGCGGACGGGUGAGUAACGCGUAGGAAUCUACCUUAGGUGGGGACAACCUGGGGAAACCCAGGCUAAUACCGCAUACGCUCGUGAGAGGAAAGCGGGGGACCUUCGGGCUUCGCGCCGAAAGAAGAGCCUACGUCCGAUUAGCUGGUUGGCAGGGUAAAAGCCUACCAAGGCGACGAUCGGUAGCUGGUCUGAGAGGAUGAUCAGCCACACUGGGACUGAGACACGGCCCAGACUCCUACGGGAGGCAGCAGUGGGGAAUAUUGGACAAUGGGCGCAAGCCUGAUCCAGCAAUGCCGCGUGGGUGAAGACGGCCUGCGGGUUGUAAAGCCCUUUAGGUGGGGAAGAACGGUGGUGUGCGAACAGUGCGCCGCCUUGACGUUACCCACGGAAUAAGCACCGGCUAACUCCGUGCCAGCAGCCGCGGUAAUACGGGGG
This 506-nucleotide ribosomal RNA is filed under the name uncultured bacterium. Its description in RNAcentral is "bacterial SSU rRNA". It matches the Rfam family "Bacterial small subunit ribosomal RNA", at positions 18 to 531 of the family's 1533-position model. The record is from RNAcentral.